RNAcentral lists this ribosomal RNA (556 nucleotides) under Phaeobotryon rhois. RNAcentral describes it as "partial large subunit ribosomal RNA". It matches the Rfam family "Eukaryotic large subunit ribosomal RNA", at positions 96 to 667 of the family's 3401-position model. The record is from RNAcentral. Lineage: Eukaryota; Fungi; Ascomycota; Dothideomycetes; Botryosphaeriales; Botryosphaeriaceae.
AAGCGGCAACAGCUCAAAUUUGAAAGCUGGCUCCUUCGGAGUCCGCAUUGUAAUUUGUAGAGGAUGAUUCGGCGAGGGCUCCCGCCUAAGUCCACUGGAACGUGGCGUCAUAGAGGGUGAGAAUCCCGUAUGCGGUGGGUUGCCUUAGCCAUGUGAAUCUCCUUCGACGAGUCGAGUUGUUUGGGAAUGCAGCUCUAAAUGGGAGGUAAAUUUCUUCUAAAGCUAAAUACCGGCCAGAGACCGAUAGCGCACAAGUAGAGUGAUCGAAAGAUGAAAAGCACUUUGGAAAGAGAGUUAAAAAGUACGUGAAAUUGUUGAAAGGGAAGGGCUUGCAACCAGACUUGUCCGCAGUUGCUCAGCCGGUCUCCUGACCGGCGUACUCUUCUGCGGCCAGGCCAGCAUCAGUUCGGGCGGUCGGAUAAAGACCUAGGGAAUGUAGCUCCUCUCGGGGAGUGUUAUAGCCCUGGGUGGAAUGCGGCCAGCCUGGACUGAGGAUCUCGCUUCGGCUAGGAUGCUGGCGUAAUGGUUGUAAGCCGCCCGUCUUGAAACACGGACC